RNAcentral lists this transfer RNA (119 nucleotides) under Calditrichota bacterium. Its description in RNAcentral is "Calditrichaeota bacterium (hydrothermal vent metagenome) tRNA-Ser". It matches the Rfam family "tRNA". From Rfam's summary of the family: Transfer RNA (tRNA) molecules are approximately 80 nucleotides in length. Their secondary structure includes four short double-helical elements and three loops (D, anti-codon, and T loops). Lineage: Bacteria; Pseudomonadati; Calditrichota. The record is from RNAcentral.
GGAGAGGUGGCCGAGUGGUUUAAGGCGGCGGUCUUGAAAACCGCUUCCCGCAUACGCGGGACGUGGGUUCCCUGCCUGAAUGCCGUCAGGCAGGCAGGGAAUUCCCUCCCUCUCCGCCA